GGCAAUGCCCGCAAGGGUGACCCAGCAACGCCGCGUGGAGGAUGAAUGUCGUAAGAUUGUAAACUCCUGUUAGAGGGGAAGAAUAGUACCGGUUGGACCGGUAUAUGACUGUACCCUCAGAGAAAGCCCCGGCUAACUACGUGCCAGCAGCCGCGGUAAUACGUAGGGGGCAAGCGUUGUCCGGAUUUACUGGGUGUAAAGGGCGCGCAGGCGGGAUAAAAAGUCAGUGGUGAAAUCCUACAGCUUAACUGUAGAACUGCCUUUGAUACUUUUAUUCUUGAGUUCGGGAGAGAGAGACGGAAUUCCAGGUGUAGUGGUGAAAUACGUAGAUAUCUGGAAGAACACCAGUUGCGAAGGCGGUCUCUUGGUCCGACACUGACGCUGAGGCGCGA
RNAcentral lists this ribosomal RNA (392 nucleotides) under uncultured bacterium. RNAcentral's name for it is "bacterial SSU rRNA". It matches the Rfam family "Bacterial small subunit ribosomal RNA", at positions 367 to 756 of the family's 1533-position model. The record is from RNAcentral.